This 474-nucleotide ribosomal RNA is filed under the name Arthrobacter humicola. RNAcentral's name for it is "bacterial SSU rRNA". It matches the Rfam family "Bacterial small subunit ribosomal RNA", at positions 429 to 916 of the family's 1533-position model. Lineage: Bacteria; Bacillati; Actinomycetota; Actinomycetes; Micrococcales; Micrococcaceae. The record is from RNAcentral.
ACCUCUUUCAGUAGGGAAGAAGCGAAAGUGACGGUACCUGCAGAAGAAGCGCCGGCUAACUACGUGCCAGCAGCCGCGGUAAUACGUAGGGCGCAAGCGUUAUCCGGAAUUAUUGGGCGUAAAGAGCUCGUAGGCGGUUUGUCGCGUCUGACGUCGUCCGGGGCUCAACUCCGGAUAUGCGGUGGGUACGGGCAGACUAGAGUGAUGUAGGGGAGACUGGAAUUCCUGGUGUAGCGGUGAAAUGCGCAGAUAUCAGGAGGAACACCGAUGGCGAAGGCAGGUCUCUGGGCAUUAACUGACGCUGAGGAGCGAAAGCAUGGGGAGCGAACAGGAUUAGAUACCCUGGUAGUCCAUGCCGUAAACGUUGGGCACUAGGUGUGGGGGACAUUCCACGUUUUCCGCGCCGUAGCUAACGCAUUAAGUGCCCCGCCUGGGGAGUACGAUCCCUCGGCAAAAACUCAAAGGAAUUGACGG